Molecule: long non-coding RNA, 658 nt
Organism: Hyaena hyaena (striped hyena)
Lineage: Eukaryota; Metazoa; Chordata; Mammalia; Carnivora; Hyaenidae
Exons: 2
Source: RefSeq, a predicted model, not a curated record
ACUCCCUGGAGCGAGGAUAAGAGACUCCGUGACAAAGAGACUUGGUCGUGGGGACAAGAAAUAAUCUUCAUUCGAGUCAACUCAACCCUAAUGAAGCAGCUACUACUGUGUGCCAGAGACGGAGGGGAAAGUAAUAUGGAAAAAAGAGACCCCGCUUUCAAAGGAUUUAGUCACCAUCGCCUGCUACAGACUGAACUUAACAGAACAUUUGUUGAGCAUUUGACAUCGGUUCCCGAAGGAUCUCCAUACAAAUUCCGCUCUUGAUACCAAAGGAGACUACAUGCUUGGGAAGAUUUAUCAGGAAGACUGAGAGAUUGGCCAUGAAGUGGAAGCAGUGGGCGAUCUGCCAUUGCAGGCGAUAAUUUUUACCAGAAGAGGAUGGCAGUGUCAUAACCAUGCAGUCAUCCAACCUGCCUUGCAUUUUAUUGGCUUAGCAGCAACUGGGCUUCUACCAGUCAGAUUACUUUUGGGUGUGACUGGUUCAUUCAUUCAGCUGGUGCUCUUGCCGGAGAGAGACCAGGCCAAGACUGCAGUUUGAUGUCCUUGCUAGAACCGAGGAGGACUUACACAAAGUAACCAGCUAACCAGAUUAAAGACUGAGUAGCUCCACACAACCUGUUCCCACUACAAAUGAAUGAAUAAACUGAAUAAAUAAUGA